RNAcentral lists this small RNA (58 nucleotides) under Arabidopsis thaliana (thale cress). RNAcentral's name for it is "ATSL015560". Lineage: Eukaryota; Viridiplantae; Streptophyta; Magnoliopsida; Brassicales; Brassicaceae. The record is from RNAcentral.
UUUGUCUUAACUACACAAGUGGAAACGAAAUACAGUAAAACCUCUAUAAAUUAUUAUU